CACCAACCAAUUCUGAAGUGAACAUAGUUUUAGCAGGGACAAAAGAUUUUAUAGAUUGUCCUAUGUGUACUUUCAUCUUGGAAUCUGCUGGUGGGUGUCGCAGACACGGCUAAUUUGGUCAUGAACCUUCAGCUUACAGCUUGCAAUAUCGGUAACGAACGUGGCAAUCAACUUCUCUGGUCUUCGUGAGUUUCCAUGCAAGAAAAUGAUAUAAGUCGCAUCGAUUGGGUCCUCCGCUUCCAGUUCGCAACAGAUUCUCAUGUCUCUGUUUGAUAGAUUGUUUAAGAGCUGACAGAAGAAAAUGUUCACAUACUAGCGAUAAUAACGAACUUUAUGAUACGAUCCUCAAAGGGCAGCAGUAAGUUAUACCUUCUUCAACUUUUACAUCCGUCCGAAGGCCGUAUGUUUGUGGUGUUACCUAAUCUAAUUCUCUUCAACUUCUCGAGUCUCCAACCGAGAGAAUGGUCUGAACAAAAAAAUGAUCUGAAAAAGAGAUAGAUGGUCACAAUCGGUGGCUGAUUAGAGAUACGAAUUAUUAACAACUUUGCAUGCUCUUACAGAAAGGGAUUUUCUCGAGUAUUUUAAAAAGCUCUGUUUAUGCCAGACAUCUCAUACUCACCUGAUCUGAAAUACAUUCGACAUGUUCAUUGUGUAGAUGCAGCGUCUCAAGCCAUGGUAGCUAAUCAGGGGCCAUCGUUCAGCACCUUUGAAAACUUCAACUCUAUAUCAUGUUGCUAGUUUGAAUAAGGAUUGGAAAGGAAGAACAGUCAAUUUUUAACUUAGGAAGUAGCUUACGUAGUGACAUGACGCCAGUGGAGGAUAGACUUUUCCUGCCGCUGAAACAAUUCAAAUCGAACAAAUCUUCCAAUUA
This is a long non-coding RNA of Physcomitrium patens, 871 nucleotides long. RefSeq lists it as uncharacterized. Lineage: Eukaryota; Viridiplantae; Streptophyta; Bryopsida; Funariales; Funariaceae. The record is from RefSeq and is a predicted model, not a curated record.